Molecule: non-coding RNA, 46 nt
Filed under: Schistosoma bovis
Lineage: Eukaryota; Metazoa; Platyhelminthes; Trematoda; Strigeidida; Schistosomatidae
Also listed under: 1 other name
Source: RNAcentral
CUUCCGCUGAAGAAUCCCACAAUAGGACGAAACGACCGUUCAGUAC